This 492-nucleotide ribosomal RNA is filed under the name uncultured bacterium. RNAcentral's name for it is "partial 16S ribosomal RNA". It matches the Rfam family "Bacterial small subunit ribosomal RNA", at positions 30 to 507 of the family's 1533-position model. The record is from RNAcentral.
AUUGAACGCUGGCGGCAUGCUUUACACAUGCAAGUCGAACGGUAACAGGCCUUCGGGUGCUGACGAGUGGCGAACGGGUGAGUAAUGCAUCGGAACGUACCCAGAGGUGGGGGAUAACGCAGCGAAAGCUGUGCUAAUACCGCAUGUGAUCUGAGGAUGAAAGCGGGGGACCGAGCAGCAAUGUUUGGCCUCGCGCCUUUGGAGCGGCCGAUGUCGGAUUAGCUAGUUGGUGGGGUAAAGGCCUACCAAGGCGACGAUCCGUAGCUGGUCUGAGAGGACGACCAGCCACACUGGGACUGAGACACGGCCCAGACUCCUACGGGAGGCAGCAGUGGGGAAUUUUGGACAAUGGGCGCAAGCCUGAUCUAGCAAUGCCGCGUGCGGGAAGAAGGCCUUCGGGUUGUAAACCGCUUUUGGCAGGAACGAAACGGUAUCCGCUAAUACCGGGCGCUAAUGACGGUACCUGCAGAAUAAGCACCGGCUAACUACGUG